GAUGAACGCUAGCGACAGGCUUAACACAUGCAAGUCGAGGGGCAGCGGUGGUGAAGGCUUGCCUUUACCAGCCGGCGACCGGCGCACGGGUGAGUAACACGUAUGCAACCUGCCUGCCACAGCCGGAUAAUCGGGAGAAAUCCCGUCUAAUACGGCAUAAUGCACCUAUGGGACAUCCUGUUGGUGCCAAAGGUUGAUUCCGGUGGCGGAUGGGCAUGCGUCGCAUUAGUUAGUUGGCGGUGUAACGGACCACCAAGACGACGAUGCGUAGGGGUUCUGAGAGGAAGGUCCGCCACACUGGUACUGAGACACGGACCAG
RNAcentral lists this ribosomal RNA (319 nucleotides) under uncultured bacterium. Its description in RNAcentral is "bacterial SSU rRNA". It matches the Rfam family "Bacterial small subunit ribosomal RNA", at positions 28 to 334 of the family's 1533-position model. The record is from RNAcentral.